Molecule: RNA transcript, 6967 nt
Organism: Vespula vulgaris
Lineage: Eukaryota; Metazoa; Arthropoda; Insecta; Hymenoptera; Vespidae
Gene name: protein big brother-like
Exons: 5
Source: RefSeq, a predicted model, not a curated record
UAGGCGUGACUUAACAUGAGCUCUCCGAAAGUAAGAGGGGACCUUUUUCUAUAUAAAGUUUUGUCAGUCUCCACUGGGACGUUGUAUAGUUUGGAGCUCUGUAACGAGUCAAGACAAAUUGGAUAUUAUACUUUCGAUCGUGUUACUCGAUAAGAAGAAAAGUGACGUUAUCGUAAUUAUAAACGUUCUUAACAAGUUUUUCCCAAUCCGCGAAACUCGUUUGUUUAUGUGAGCUGUUGAUAAAGCAUAAAUAAAAAAUUCGUUGAAAAAGAACGUACGGACAAAGAUAAGAAGUAAAAGUAUAAUAAAAAAAGUGAGGAUACAGCCUGUGCAUGUACGCCGAAAAAAUGAUGCACGCAAUGAGCGAGCAUGCGGGUGGCGCGGCCGGUCUCGGCGUUGGUGUUCUACCCUUUGAUGCAAUGGCACUUUAUGAGCAACCACGACCUCGUUAUGCGUUAAAAAUGCCACGCGUUGUGCCUGAUCAGAAGGCCAAGUUUGAAAGCGACGAGCUCUUCAGAAGACUCAGCCGUGAGAGCGAGGUAAGAUACACCGGGUAUCGUGAUAGGCCGAUGGAAGAACGUCAAGUGCGCUUUCAAAAUAGUUGCCGUGAAGGCCAAGUAGAGAUAGCGUUCGCAGCGACCGGUACAAAUCUACAACUGGUCUUUGGUAACGCUUGUGGGACUUAUCCUCCUGAUCGAAGAGAGGAUUGUGAUUUUGACAAAGAACACGGCAAGAUCAUUGAUAUCAUGAACAAUCACUAUAAACGGUUUUUCUACGGACGCCCUGGGAACAGGAUUGAAAAGAAAAGGGUUUUAGUUAAACUCUUUCAAAGUUCUUGCAAAGUUUUUCAAAGGAUGUCCUAUUUUAAUGGUUCCGCACGAAUACUGUUAUAUCCAUGCAAUUUGCUAAUGAGCAUGAAACUUUUUAAAGAAGACGCUAGCGUGAAAUUGUAUCUCAUGAAAGAGGGGAAACAAGAACGGGUACGUCGUCGCUAAAGUCGGGGGUGAUUUUGACGAGAGGGUGCAUCACCUGGUAGAACCAUCUAUCACACGAUACGAAAAGGAAGAGGGGACUCCAAAGAAAGUGAGAAACAGAAAGAACAUGGACACACGGACACAUGCGCACAAAGACGUCUACUAAGCGAGGGAGGAACAAACGAAAGGGACGUAUCCACAAUUUGUCCUCGUCACGUUUAACGUGGCUGCCUUCGGGAAAAGGGCUAAAAGGGGUUGGAGCUGAACGAUAGAACCCUGGCGUUCGCAGUUAUAACCUUGUUACAUCCACUGUAUAUUGCAGCACACACCUAUCUUACACUCUCACAGCCUGUCCAUUAACUUCUCGUCGUAGGAUAUUAACAUUUUGUACAUCACUGAAAGAGAGAGAGAGAGAGAGAGAGAGAGAGAAAGAAUAUAAAGAGAGUAAGAGGAAAGGAUAUGCAUGAUCGUAAAACGCAGCCGGUGUUGGAUGCUCGCCUACAUGUAAGUUCAGACAAAUUUUUUACAGUCAAACCUUAUGUGGAAUCCUUUGAUUUGAAUAUUAUUACACAAUAAUGACGGUUUAGUAAUUUAUUUGCCAAUUUGUUUUACAUUUUAUCCUAUAUAAGAAAUUUGUUAUCAAUCUAGGGAAUGUGAUUUAUUACAUUAAUAAUAAUUUUUUUUUAUUAUUUUAUUCUUUUUUAUAAAAAGUUACAGGAAUAAAAUAAACGUAAACAUAGGAAAAUCUAAGGAUAUCUGAACUAUAUUGUUUUACGGAGAAUAAUUUAGUUAUAUACUUUUAUUAUAUCAAGUUGAUAAAAAAUAUCUAUCGACUACCGCCCAGUUAUAAGGUAUAAAAAAAUUAUAAAAUAAGCCUGAAGUAUAAAUAAAAUAUAAAUUUUUACAAAACGAAUUUUUUUAAAUAAAAAGAAAAUUACAGACAUCUACAUGAUUCUUCGAAUCGCUUAAUUACUUUUUUUACUUUAAUUACUAAUUUUUACUUCGCUUAAUUAUUAAUUAAGUCACACAUUUUUUCGAUAGAAUUCACGAGUGUCGUCUUUAACACCUAUGUAAAAAUUAGUAGACCCAAGAAUUUGAUAUGUAUUCAAGAGAAAUGCGAAACUCAAUGUGACGUGAUAAGUCUCGACAGGCAAUUAAGCCUGUCGCUGUAAUUCCCUAAUUCUCAUAAUAAUCAAACCGAUGCUGCCAUUGUUCUUGUACGGGCUAUUGUCUUAGCCGCACUUCGUACUUUUGUGCCACCCAUGCAAUAUGCCUCUUUGUUCUCUAUAAUCAGCCGUUACACGUCUUUCAGUUCAAGUUUGCAUUAAACCGCUUAAAUGGCAGGGUGGUCUGGAUCUUUUUCCUAUUAAAAGAUCGGGAUAAAAUUAAUUUUUAAUGGUAUCUGGCAACUUAUAAAAAAUAAAAUAUCAAACUGGUCCGAUUAAAAUAUUCAUCAUUGAUCAAAAAAAUAUUGACUAAUUAGUAAUAACAAAUAACAUCAAUUAAAGGAUUCUCCAAAGGUUUUCACGAACAUGUGUUUCUUACCAAAAAUAGAAAACCAUUUUAUACUGAUUUGUCACAUCAUGUUUGGAAAAUAACUGCCCCUUAAGAGCUCGCAUCGGUGGUCCUCGACAUUUCCUGGAGAGGAUCUCGAAGGAUCGAGGAUGCAGAUGUUUAUUUUGACGCAAUGGACUAAGCUCACGACUUUUCGAGAGGAUACUCAAAGCUAUUGAGAAACUUUCGUUCUGCAUUCCGACAAUUUUACCGGAUUGACUCGCACGUUCUCAGCCAGACAAUGAGCAUCCUUCGGUAAUAUGUGCAAUCCUCACGAUAUAAGAGCAACAGUAUCGGCAGCAAUAGCAAAAUAAAGUAAAAAGAAGUAACGAAAGAAAGGAAAGCUUCCUUCUCGAGGAGUUUCGAUUACACGGUUACUUUGGUCUCGUCAAUAGAAAACGGGCAUACAGAAAGAAAACAGGAGACGAGAUCACGUCUCUUAUGGUGAUCGCGCGUUCUUCAGAAACACUGCAAGAAAAGAAAAAGAAGAAGAGCAUGGAGUAUACCGUGCGUGCAAAACCGCACAAAGGAAAUUUCGCGGAGUGAACUACAACGACUACUCGAGAGCCCCACCUUCUCAUUCUUUCUUCUUCGUCCUUUUUUUUGUCUUUUCUUUUUCACGUUUUUUCUGGCUGGUACCGCAACACGAAUUUAUUCUGCCGUAGCCUCCCUCAUUUCGGACUUCAAAGAAAAGGGUAAUGUAAAUCUCUAUAAACAAUUUUAAAAGGAAAUAUUUAUGCUUUUGAUUUGUAGAUAUUCGUAAAUAUUUAAAAUGUUUUAAAAUUUAUUUCAAGUAAACUUUUAUUUCAGGAAUCACGUACAGAAUCUAUUUUUAUUGUAUUUGUAUAUUUCAUUCUAUAUCGUACUACUACUUUUUUCAAUUAUUAUUGGUACAAUUUUUAAUUGUGAUAUUUAACGAUGAAUAGUAACAAGUUUUCUUAAUGAUUAGCAAUUCUCUUUUGAUAGUCGUUCAACUUCUCGAAAAAACCACACAACUUUUUCCCCUUCCCGAUAUCGAUUCAAGACGGCGUAUAAUUCGAUAUCGAUAACGUAAUCCUAUACGAAAAUGGCACACGCAGCAACUCGUUUUGCAAUAUCGCUGGAUCGACCACAUGCAACGUCACUCAAGGAUCUUUUCUACGGUCAUGUUGUAACGGUUUACCUUGUACAUUCGUCAUCAUCGAUAUUCGCGACGGACCUACCGAUGCAUAGUGAUCGUCGAUGCGGACGAAUCGUGUCACGGAAGAUUAUUUCGAAGCUGCACUUCAUCCAGAAAUAAAUCAAACAAGAAUGUUCUAACUGAAGUUAAGAAUAAUAAUCAAUACGAGGUCAAGUAAACCAAGCUGUAUCUUGUUUAAAUAUCACUUUCACCUUUUCUUUUUCUCUGAAUAAAACUGUUGUUCUUAAAAUUAAAUAUGAUCGUCGAAUUAAAUAUAUUUUGACAAACUAGGAAGGACCGUCGCACUCUCUCUCUCUCUCUCUUUCUCUCUCUCUCUUUCUCUCUCUCUCUCUCUCUCUCUCUCUCUCUCUCUUUCCUAGAGAUGUACUUUAUCUCUUGUCCUUGAAAGAAGUCGAUAGCACGUGCUAGUUUAUACCCGCUUGCCAGCUGCAAAUGUCGUGACAAGAUCCGGCAAAAUCGAGCAAAUGCAUGGAAUCGGAGAACGCGAGACCCAUCUGGCGCGUGCGUGACCUCCUUUAAUUAUCUUAAUUCUUUGCACUCAACUGUUCCAAAGAUUGCUUCGAGCAUCGUUCAACUAUGGGAAUUCAAAAAUAAUUUCAACGUCCUCUCGAAACUUCGUUUCAUUCAUCUUUGUCAUAAAUAUUCUUUAUUUCUAUUCGACGGGGAAUACUAUCGAUUUACUAUGGAGGUCCUCAGCCCUUUUUUUCUUUUCUUUUUCUUCUCCUUCUUUCAACACUCCCUAUCAAGCCUGUCUACCGACCCCAUUUCUAGGGGUUGGUAGAAACGCGCACACUCUCUGCGAUCGGAGGGAGAAUUCGCUUUGCCCGGCUGUCUAGAAAAUCCUCCCUUCCGUUAGCCAAUCGGCAUACGAGCACGCCCCAUGACGUCAUACACGUCCCUUCAGCCUAUAAUUAGCCAAUCCGAUCGCGAGUUAUCCUGCGCAGCCCUUGGCUGAUUAUAUUUACAAGCCAAUGAUUUUUGCACUACUCGGAAACACCUACAAGAACGUUCGGAUUUCAGAGGGGUUAGAAGAGAACAAGCACAAUGGUCUUCCCCUUCUUUUUACAAUUUCAGAUUCCGUACCAUGUCUCUCUCUCUCUCUCUCUCUCUCUCUCUCUCUCUCUCUCUCUGUCUCUCUCUCUCUCUCUAUUUUCCUCUUUUUGUAUUGAUGUUCUCGCAAGUAUAAGCAUUUUUUUUGACAUUCCAUCAUCCCUCUCUGUCAAGUACCAACAGCAGGAAAAGGAAAAAAGAAAAAAACAAGAAGAAAGAUACUCCUCUCUUUUUAUAUUAAUAUACAAAUAUUAGAUAUAUAUUUAGAUAAUAACAUAAGUUACGAUUCAACAUAUUUUUGUUUUUCCAUCAUCUACAAAUAAGAUAAAUUGUAACAUGAUAUUUUAUAUACAAUAUAUAUCUUCAGGUAUAAAGUAAUACUAAACAUAAAAAAGAAUUUUCAAGGUGGCUUUCAAGAAGAUAAAUGAUAGCGAGAAGAGAAGAAAAAAAUUAUCGAUCUCUUUUGAAGAAAGAUCUCUCGAAGAUAGCGAUUACAUGAAGCAAAUAGGUAAGGGGAGUAGAAAACGGAAUUUUUAAAGAAGAUAGGAAAAAGAGAAGAAGGUUGGACGGCUCUCGACACAAUAUAAAAUAAGGAAGCUGGUAUGCACGUGUAUUGGUAAGUAUCGCUUUCCGAGUUUUGGGAUAAUCCGCUUAGGCUAGUCUACGGUUCCGUCAAUGCGUCGUCAUCGUGUUUAAACGUAUUGUUAACGUGUUUUGUGAGAAAACAGCAUUUUCGUCGCUCGAGGUGAUGGCAAAAAAAGGACUUAACUUAUCUUCGUCAUAACAGAUACGAAGAGGAAGAGCCGGUUCUUUUUUCACGAGGAAGGAUUCCAAAGAUCAGUCUAAUACUUCUCUCAAGUCUCAUACACCUGAUUCCUUAAUUCUUCGUUUGUUGAAAUAUUUCAAAGAGAUUCGUUCAUCACCAAAUACCGAUAUAUACCUCUGUAUAUUUUUGUUCCCGUUUUGACGGUUCGUUGACGAUGAUGAUGAUGAUAUCAUGUUUGUCCCAUUUUGCAGCGAGAGGGAGAGGGGGGAAGAGAGAGGGGGGAGGGAGAGAGAGAGAGAGGAAGAGAGAGAGAGAGAGAAACAGAGAAAAAAGGGUUACCGUAACCACCCUGAAAAGGACCCAUAUAAUCUCAUGAAUACAUAAUCCAGAUGCAAACAGCCGCCACGCGCACCUCGUUUUAAACGGUCACGAUAUUUCACGGAUUAUAAGGAUGCAACACGAAAGGAUAUUUACACUUCGCUUGCACGAUACAUGUAUUUAUAUAUAACAUUAGUAAGGAUCGAUAUUUUGCGUUAUGUUUACAAAGUAUAUAUUCUGGAAGAUCAUAAAUUGUGAGUAUUUAAAAUUUUGACAAAUACAAAGCAGAAAUGGGAUUUCAAAUUUACUAAAGCGUUCGUAUCUAAGAUAGCGUAGAUUUGAAUUACGAAAAAGAAUUCAAUCGUUGAUGCAAAUAGAGAUAAAUCUAAUCCUUCAACCUUUUUUUUUUUACUGAGCAAAGUAAACUUCGAUAAGGGUACUCUUACGAUAAAAAAGUAGGCGUUGAUCGAUGAGUAUACAGAUUGGAUCGUUCUCUCUCACGAUCAAAAAUAGAAAAAAAAAAACGGCUUUCUACUUCGUUGCAUGUAUCAGUAUUUUGCCAACAUGUGAGACACAUAAAAACGAAUUUUUUCAUUAAUAAAAGUUUCAAUCGGGAGGAUCAAGGAAACAUAGAGAAUCUCUUAAUUUCUUUGUAAAGAAAGUUAUUAUUUUUGCUGUAAUCACACGAAGACAUAUUUUCGUUUAUUUCAUUUCUACAGCAAUUAUUCGCUUCUUUUUUAAGAAAAACUUUUAACCGAAGGAAGUACGAUAAAAUCGAGAUUGCAUAACAUGCAGGAGCGCUUUAAAAUAUUUACUUUAUCAUUUUACAAACGCAUACAUGCAGACACACACACACGUAUAAGGACGCUCUAAUCAUUCUCUCUCUUUCUCCCCAUUUUCUUUUAAUUCUUUUCUUUACUUCUUUUUUCCGACUUAUAAAAAUAUAUUGGACGGAAGCCGCGACAUGAUUCUUUAUACUUUUUAAGAAAAGAAUAAAGUCGUUGUUAGGUACAGCGAUCGGUAUUUGAGCGAGGGUCUCUGUCCUCCCGUCGGAGAUCAUCCGUAAAUAAAAGAAAUAAACUCGUGUGAAACUUGAGCAAAAAAAAACAAAAAAAUGAAGAAGAA